GUUUAUGGCCACACCACCCUGCAUACACCUGAUCUUGUCUGGUCUUGAAAGCCAAGCAGGGUUGGGUGUGGUUAGUGCUUGGAUGGGAGACAUUGAACACAAAUUUAUAUAAUUAUAAAUU
Molecule: ribosomal RNA, 121 nt
Filed under: Propithecus coquereli (Coquerel's sifaka)
Lineage: Eukaryota; Metazoa; Chordata; Mammalia; Primates; Indriidae
Source: RNAcentral